RNAcentral lists this ribosomal RNA (463 nucleotides) under Macrococcoides caseolyticum. RNAcentral's name for it is "bacterial SSU rRNA". It matches the Rfam family "Bacterial small subunit ribosomal RNA", at positions 22 to 475 of the family's 1533-position model. The record is from RNAcentral. Lineage: Bacteria; Bacillati; Bacillota; Bacilli; Caryophanales; Staphylococcaceae.
GCUCAGGAUGAACGCUGGCGGCGUGCCUAAUACAUGCAAGUCGAGCGAACGGACAGGAGUGCUUGCACUCCUUGAAGUUAGCGGCGGACGGGUGAGUAACACGUGGGUAACCUACCUAUAAGACUGGGAUAACUUCGGGAAACCGGAGCUAAUACCGGAUAAUAUAUACCUCCGCAUGGAGGAAUAGUCAAAGACGGUUCUGCUGUCACUUAUAGAUGGACCCGCGGUGUAUUAGCUAGUUGGUGAGGUAACGGCUCACCAAGGCAACGAUACAUAGCCGACCUGAGAGGGUGAUCGGCCACACUGGGACUGAGACACGGCCCAGACUCCUACGGGAGGCAGCAGUAGGGAAUCUUCCGCAAUGGACGAAAGUCUGACGGAGCAACGCCGCGUGAGUGAAGAAGGUUUUCGGAUCGUAAAACUCUGUUGUAAGGGAAGAACAAGUACGUUAGUAACUGAACGU